CCUACGGGUGGCAGCAGUGAGGAAUAUUGGUCAAUGGGCGGGAGCCUGAACCAGCCAAGUCGCGUGAAGGAAGAAGGUACUUAGUAUUGUAAACUUCUUUUGUCGGGGAACAAAGGCGGAGACGCGUCUCCGGAUGAGUGUACCCGAAGAAAAAGCAUCGGCUAACUCCGUGCCAGCAGCCGCGGUAAUACGGAGGAUGCGAGCGUUAUCCGGUUUUAUUGGGUUUAAAGGGUGCGUAGGCGGACGCUUAAGUCAGCGGUAAAAUUGCGGGGCUCAACCUCGUCGAGCCGUUGAAACUGGGUGCCUUGAGUGGGCGAGAAGUACGCGGAAUGCGUGGUGUAGCGGUGAAAUGCAGAGAUAUCACGCAGAACUCCGAUUGCGAAGGCAGCGUACCGGCGCCCAACUGACGCUGAAGCACGAAGGCGUGGGUAUCGAACAGGAUUAGAUACCCCAGUAGUC
RNAcentral lists this ribosomal RNA (459 nucleotides) under uncultured bacterium. RNAcentral describes it as "partial 16S ribosomal RNA". It matches the Rfam family "Bacterial small subunit ribosomal RNA", at positions 338 to 795 of the family's 1533-position model. The record is from RNAcentral.